GCGGAAACGGUCGUCUUUGGCUUUGAGAAAAGUUUAUCUUUAAUUUCAUUAUGGCUAGCCAUUUUUAUUUAAUUUAUCAAUGUUAGAGCUAGUACAUUGUUUUUAAGUUGAGAAAUGCACGCUGUUCGUAUCUAUCCAUCCUUAUGGCAAGAAAAGCUACAUCAAUUAUCAACAUCACGCGCGAUAGCGUCUGCUUGCUCACAACUGCAGCUGACAUCUACGCGCGACCACGCACGACGUUGCUGCCGAGCUCUUGCUUAGCCGCUUGCUUCGCCGGCAUCAGCGUUCUCUCCCCGCAAUGUACCACAUGAGAAAGAAGCUUUUGCUGCUGCUGCUCUUGCAAAGGCGGCGGGAGCGCAGAAAGCGUCUGCGGCCUCUGCGGCGACGUUGGUGGGUCCGGCCAGUCUUUCAACUGCGUAAAGAAGAAGGACUUUACGGCUAUGCAGCGGAUACGUCAGGAUGACCACGGAUUUUUCUACAAGUUCUUUCGCAAGACACCACAGCUCUUUGACAAGCUAUUGAGCUUUGUCGCAGAGGACCUCACAUGGCAGCACCACAUUCGAGAUACCCCUGGAGCCUGGAGAACGACUUGCUGUAGCAUUGAGCAAUGCUUCCCAACGUAUCCAGCCUGCGACUGCCUGCUGAAGCCAGCGAUGCUUGUGACUGCGGCCUGCUGUGGUGUGCCUCAGAAGCCUUGGGAACCAGAACUUCUGGAAACAUCGGUGAUACAAGAGAUUCCAAAAUGUCCUGAGACUCCACAGACUCAUGCGACACCGAAGACAGAGUCGAUGCUGGCGCUUGUGACUCUUCACUUGACGGUGAUGGCACUUCAGAUCAGAAAACUGGCACAUUUUUUGUUAAGAUGUCUGCAGCACUUCCCUCCUCACUCGAUGGGGGCACUGGUGGAAGGUUGGCGGACAUCCUGCAUGUGAGCGUAAUAAGGUUUGCACAUACUGUCAAUGUGUAAAUAAUGUGCCAGUCUGGAUGCAAAAAUAUAUGAAGGCUCAAAUCCGUCCACAUUUGUUUUAGUGUGUGAUUUUAUUAGAGUACACUGAAGCUCUGAAUCAGUUUUGUAGGGACAAAAGUGGCUUGCCUACACAACCAGAAUGAACAGUUUCUGCAUGCGCGUAAGUGUAGCUUUUCUAUCUUUUUCUGUUUUUGCUUGUGAUGCAUUAAGGCAGUUCUUACGUGAUCUGCAUGCGUAAAGCCUAGUGAUUACUUCUACUCAAAACAGUGCAUGAUAUUUGGAAUGUUUCAGUUUUGAAAUAAUUAGCAGGAAGCAUUCCACUACAUUUACUCAGUAAAACCACUUAAUAAAUUUCAUGUUGAAAGACCUAUGCUUGCACUUUCUAAACAUAGAGUAGUAGUACUGUUAGGUCUUGCUUUAGCAUAAGGCUCUCUCCUGUUCUAGUUUUUCUACUUGAAACGUUCUUGGCUUGUGACUUUGUUUUCCUUUCACUUGUUUGUAAACUUCAUCUCAUUCUAAACUGUUUUUCUUAACUGAAUGUACGUCUAAACAGUGUGAAGCUGUGUACGUAGUAGUCAGUGCAUUUGUUGUUUGUAUUUAGGAAGUUACGUCUAAUAAUGUUUGUCUUCUUGCCAUCUGCCUUGCAAAGGGUAUUUUGGCCCAGCAAAGCUGACCUUAGCGAGCAAACCCUUCCAGAAGGUUUCUUACAGCCAAGCUUUUUUUGCCUCUUCUCUGGACUUUCCUACCGCUGCUCCUACUGUCUUGCCAAAUAGCUCGCCUCAUACUGAUAAUAAUGUAGACAUUGAACAAUUGUCAUCCCAGCUGACUACUGGCUACUGUGUUGCACGAGUGACCAGUACUGGACGUAAUGCAAAUACAAAUUAAAAUAAUGUAACUGGAUCGUGGUUUUGGCAUGUAAAAUUUCAAUAAUCAUUUUUUGCACAGUGCGAAUGUGUUAAACUGGAUCAUCAAGUCCUUCCUCGGAAAUUUUGCUAAGCAGGAACAGUGUUCUCCACAAACAUUGUGAAAGCUUCGCUUAAACCAAUAACCACAGCACCUGAGAUCUGCAGAAUAACCACAGGCUGAUAAUAAGUAAGGACACUGCUGAGCAGACACAAAAAGAAUUAUCAAUUACACAGCUGACAAUGUUGUCAGUACUAUGGCGCAUUUAUUCCUACAGCAUGAUGACACUGAAUGAAUCCCUAAGCAAGCUAGGUAAUAUUUGGGGGUCUGUGAUGAUGCACCGAUUUGCACACUGCUGGCAAGCAACAAAAUGCAAAAUUAAAACUGUAUAUUGAAGUGCCCAAGGUACACGUGAAUAUAGCAACAUUCAAUACUCAGUUAAAUACUGGCCAUUGACUUGCACGCUGCCUUCUAGGAUCAGUGCACAGAAUAAAAAAAAAAAAACUACUUGCAUGUUUUGUGUUUUCUUUUUGUGUGCGCAUCAUGCAAGCCCGUUUCUUUUUUUGAUCCUGCUAAUUUGUAUGUGAUAUUCUCUGUACUUCUGUCUUAUGCUUUAUUGUUAGGUUUUUAAGUGCUAUUUUACUUGUUAUUUUGUACCUGUUUUUCUGCUUUCUCUGCUCCCCACUGCAAAGCCAAACUGGCUUUGUGGGUACCUAAAUAAAUAAAUAUACAAAGCU
Molecule: long non-coding RNA, 2607 nt
Organism: Dermacentor albipictus
Lineage: Eukaryota; Metazoa; Arthropoda; Arachnida; Ixodida; Ixodidae
Source: RefSeq, a predicted model, not a curated record